GCUCCGUUGGUGUAGUUGGUUAUCACCGUGGACUCUGAAUCCACUGACCCCGGUUCGAAUCCGGGACGGAGCUCUA
Molecule: transfer RNA, 76 nt
Filed under: Flavobacteriaceae bacterium
Lineage: Bacteria; Pseudomonadati; Bacteroidota; Flavobacteriia; Flavobacteriales; Flavobacteriaceae
Description: tRNA-Gln
Rfam family: tRNA
About the family: Transfer RNA (tRNA) molecules are approximately 80 nucleotides in length. Their secondary structure includes four short double-helical elements and three loops (D, anti-codon, and T loops).
Source: RNAcentral